GAGGAAAGCUGGCGGCGUGCCUAAUACAUGCAAGUCGAGCGAACGGACGAGAAGCUUGCUUCUCUGAUGUUAGCGGCGGACGGGUGAGUAACACGUGGAUAACCUACCUAUAAGACUGGGAUAACUUCGGGAAACCGGAGCUAAUACCGGAUAAUAUUUUGAACCGCAUGGUUCAAAAGUAAAAGACGGUCUUGCUGUCACUUAUAGAUGGAUCCGCGCUGCAUUAGCUAGUUGGUAAGGUAACGGCUUACCAAGGCAACGAUGCAUAGCCGACCUGAGAGGGUGAUCGGCCACACUGGAACUGAGACACGGUCCAGACUCCUACGGGAGGCAGCAGUAGGGAAUCUUCCGCAAUGGGCGAAAGCCUGACGGAGCAACGCCGCGUGAGUGAUGAAGGUCUUCGGAUCGUAAAACUCUGUUAUUAGGGAAGAACAUAUGUGUAAGUAACUGUGCACAUCUUGACGGUACCUAAUCAGAAAGCCACGGCUAACUACGUG
Molecule: ribosomal RNA, 497 nt
Filed under: uncultured bacterium
Lineage: Bacteria
Description: partial 16S ribosomal RNA
Rfam family: Bacterial small subunit ribosomal RNA
Source: RNAcentral